This 253-nucleotide ribosomal RNA is filed under the name uncultured bacterium. RNAcentral's name for it is "partial 16S ribosomal RNA". It matches the Rfam family "Bacterial small subunit ribosomal RNA", at positions 524 to 776 of the family's 1533-position model. The record is from RNAcentral.
UACGGAGGAUGCAGGCGUUAUCCGGAUUUAUUAGGUUUAAAGGGUGCGUAGGCGGUCUUUUAAGUCAGUGGUGAAAGUUUGCAGCUUAACUGUAAAAUUGCCAUUGAUACUGGCAGACUUGAAUAUGGUAGAGGUAGGCGGAAUGUGUAGUGUAGCGGUGAAAUGCUUAGAUAUUACACAGAACACCAAUUGCGAAGGCAGCUUACUAUGCCAUUAUUGACGCUGAGGCACGAAAGCGUGGGGAGCGAACAGG